Transfer RNA from Loxodonta africana (African savanna elephant), 71 nucleotides. It matches the Rfam family "tRNA". From Rfam's summary of the family: Transfer RNA (tRNA) molecules are approximately 80 nucleotides in length. NCBI's taxonomy places the organism in Eukaryota, Metazoa, Chordata, Mammalia, Proboscidea, Elephantidae. The record is from Rfam.
GCAGUGGUGGUUCAACGGUAGAAUUCUCGCUUUCCAUGCAGGAGACAUGGGUUUGAUUCCCGGCCAAUGCA